This 88-nucleotide transfer RNA is filed under the name Flavobacteriales bacterium. RNAcentral's name for it is "tRNA-Ser". It matches the Rfam family "tRNA". From Rfam's summary of the family: Transfer RNA (tRNA) molecules are approximately 80 nucleotides in length. Their secondary structure includes four short double-helical elements and three loops (D, anti-codon, and T loops). The record is from RNAcentral. Lineage: Bacteria; Pseudomonadati; Bacteroidota; Flavobacteriia; Flavobacteriales.
GGAGAGGUGGCCGAGCGGCUUAAGGCGCACGCUUGGAAAGCGUGUGUACCUCACAAGGGUACCGGGGGUUCGAAUCCCUUCCUCUCCG